This 569-nucleotide ribosomal RNA is filed under the name uncultured bacterium. RNAcentral describes it as "partial 16S ribosomal RNA". It matches the Rfam family "Bacterial small subunit ribosomal RNA", at positions 355 to 1375 of the family's 1533-position model. The record is from RNAcentral.
UGGGGAAUAUUGCACAAUGGGCGAAAGCCUGAUGCAGCAACGCCGCGUGAGGGACGACGGCCUUCGGGUUGUAAACCUCUUUUAGCAAGGAAGAAGCGAAAGUGACGGUACUUGCAGAAAAAGCGCCGGCUAACUACGUGCCAGCAGCCGCGGUAAUACGUAGGGCGCAAGCGUUAUCCGGAAUUAUUGGGCGUAAAGAGCUCGUAGGCGGUUUGUCGCGUCUGCUGUGAAAACCCGAGGCUCAACCUCGGGCCUGCAGUGGGUACGGGCAGACUAGAGUGCGGUAGGGGAGAUUGGAACUCCUGGUGUAGCGGUGGAAUGCGCAGAUAUCAGGAAGAACACCGAUGGCGAAGGCAGAUCUCUGGGCCGUAACUGACGCUGAGGAGCGAAAGGGUGGGGAGCAAACAGGCUUAGAUACCCUGGUAGUCCACCCCGUAAACGUUGGGAACUAGUUGUGGGGUCCAUUCCACGGAUUCCGUGACGCAGCUAACGCAUUAAGUUCCCCGCCUGGGGAGUACGGCCGCAAGGCUAAAACUGCAAAUGAAUUGACGGGGUCAUAGCUGUUUCCU